UGGGGAAUAUUGCACAAUGGGCGAAAGCCUGAUGCAGCAACGCCGCGUGAGUGAUGAAGGCCUUCGGGUUGUAAAGCUCUGUCUUUUGGGACGAUAAUGACGGUACCAAAGGAGGAAGCCACGGCUAACUACGUGCCAGCAGCCGCGGUAAUACGUAGGUGGCAAGCGUUGUCCGGAUUUACUGGGCGUAAAGGAUGCGUAGGCGGAUUUUUAAGUGAGAUGUGAAAACCCUAAGCUUAACUUGGGGACUGCAUUUCAUACUGGAAAUCUAGAGUGCGGGAGAGGAGAGUGGAAUUCCUAGUGUAGCGGUGAAAUGCGUAGAGAUUAGGAAGAACACCAGUGGCGAAGGCGAUUCUCUGGACCGUAACUGACGCUGAGGCAUGAAAGCGUGGGUAGCAAACAGGAUUAGAUACCCUGGUAGUCCACGCCGUAAACGAUGAGUACUAGGUGUAGGAGGUAUCGACCCCUUCUGUGCCGCAGUUAACACAAUAAGUACUCCGCCUGGGAAGUACGAUCGCAAGAUUAAAAACUCAAAUGAAUUGACGGGGUCAUAGCUGUUUCCU
Molecule: ribosomal RNA, 563 nt
Filed under: uncultured bacterium
Lineage: Bacteria
Description: partial 16S ribosomal RNA
Rfam family: Bacterial small subunit ribosomal RNA
Source: RNAcentral